Non-coding RNA from Anolis sagrei ordinatus, 635 nucleotides. Lineage: Eukaryota; Metazoa; Chordata; Lepidosauria; Squamata; Anolidae. The record is from RefSeq and is a predicted model, not a curated record.
AUUAUCAAUCUUGCACCUCCUCCAAGGUUGAGGAAAGUCAAGCUUGAUUUCCUCAGGCUUCAGAAACAUCCAUCUAUAUACUUGAUUGCUGGAAGCACCAUCUUCUCAUUUCCAGUGUCUCUUCUUCUUAGAACAUCCCGCAUUAGCACAGUACAAUCUGUCGGAAACAUGCCGUCGGAUCAGAUAACUAUUUUCCUUAGUGUUGACUGACCAGUGGAAGAUCUUUUGAAACUACUAACCUCUGUGGAAACUCAGAACAACUGCUUCCUGUUAACCAAAGCAAAUAAAACAAACUGGAACGGCAGCCUUGAAGAAAGCACCACUUAUCUUUGCUGAGAUCUGCUCCAAAUGUCCCAGACCAUAUGCUGCUUCCGUCCAUUCUUCAUGCAGGUCUAAGAUCUACAGCUCUCUUUAAAAGAUUGGGCCAACUUUGCAAAACUUGAAGGGGUGAAACUGGCUCAGUAUUUUGAAUCCCAUCUGAAAGUACAGACGGGGAGAGAAAGAAUCUUGCCAGCUCUCACAUCUACAGAAAGUAUCACCUUCCAGAAGUUCUCCUGGGAUGUCACAGCAGCAAAUUGGAGAGUCUAUAUGUCUAGAAACUAUUUCAUCUUAUCGUUCCCCCAGUUGAAGAACAA